Oryza rufipogon (brownbeard rice) is the source of this 199-nucleotide microRNA precursor. It matches the Rfam family "MIR812 microRNA precursor family". Lineage: Eukaryota; Viridiplantae; Streptophyta; Magnoliopsida; Poales; Poaceae. The record is from Rfam.
CAUCAGUGCAAGUGUGAGUUUUCGUGUCCAACAUUUAACUAUCUGCCUUAUUUAAAAAAAUAUGAUUAGUAUUUUUAUUAUUAUUAUAUGAUAAAACAUGAAUAAUACUUUAUGUGUAACUAUUUUAAAAAAAUCAUAAAAUUUUUAAAUAAGAAUGAUGGUCAAACGUUGGAUAUGGAAAACCACAACUAUAUUUAUA